RNAcentral lists this ribosomal RNA (513 nucleotides) under uncultured bacterium. Its description in RNAcentral is "partial 16S ribosomal RNA". It matches the Rfam family "Bacterial small subunit ribosomal RNA", at positions 28 to 507 of the family's 1533-position model. The record is from RNAcentral.
GACGAACGCUGGCGGCGUGCUUAACACAUGCAAGUCGAACGAGAGCGUAGAGACAGCUUGCUUUUUCUACAAUCUAGUGGCAAACGGGUGAGUAACGCGUAAACAACCUGCCCUACGGAUGGGGACAACAGCUGGAAACGGCUGCUAAUACCGAAUACGUUCCGAAAGUCGCAUGACUAUCGGAAGAAAGGAUGGCCUCUAUUUAUAAGCUAUCGCCGGAGGAGGGGUUUGCGUCUGAUUAGCUAGUUGGAGGGGUAACGGCCCACCAAGGCGACGAUCAGUAGCCGGUCUGAGAGGAUGAACGGCCACAUUGGAACUGGGACACGGUCCAGACUCCUACGGGAGGCAGCAGUGGGGAAUCUUCCGCAAUGGGCGAAAGCCUGACGGAGCAACGCCGCGUGAGUGAAGACGGCCUUCGGGUUGUAAAGCUCUGUUAUACGGGACGAAUAAUCUUGUGGUUAAUACCCAUGAGAAGUGACGGUACCGUAAGAGAAAGCCACGGCUAACUACGUG